GACGAACGCUGGCGGCGUGCUUAACACAUGCAAGUCGAACGGUGAAGCGCCUUCCUUUUUGGUGGGUGUGGAUGAGUGGCGAACGGGUGAGUAACACGUGAGUAACCUGCCCCCUUCUUCUGGAUAACCGCAUGAAAGUGUGGCUAAUACGGGAUAUUCUGUGUCUGUCGCAUGAUGGGUCUGGGAAAGAUAUUGUUUCGGUGGGGGAUGGGCUCGCGGCCUAUCAGCUUGUUGGUGGGGUGAUGGCCUACCAAGGCGGUGACGGGUAGCCGGCCUGAGAGGGUGGACGGUCACACUGGGACUGAGACACGGCCCCGACUACUACGGGAGGCAGCAGUGGGGAAUAUUGCACAGUGGGCGGAAGCCUGAUGCAGCGACGCCGCGGGAGGGAUGGAGGCCUGCGGGUUGUGAACCUCUUUCGCCAGUGAAGCAGGCCUGCCUCGUUUGUGGGUGGGUUGACGGUAGCUGGAUAAGAAGCGCCGGCUAACUACGUG
RNAcentral lists this ribosomal RNA (494 nucleotides) under uncultured bacterium. RNAcentral describes it as "partial 16S ribosomal RNA". It matches the Rfam family "Bacterial small subunit ribosomal RNA", at positions 28 to 507 of the family's 1533-position model. The record is from RNAcentral.